Molecule: ribosomal RNA, 485 nt
Filed under: uncultured bacterium
Lineage: Bacteria
Description: bacterial SSU rRNA
Rfam family: Bacterial small subunit ribosomal RNA
Source: RNAcentral
GAUGAACGCUGGCGGCGUGCUUAACACAUGCAAGUCGAACGAAGCAUUUAAGACAGAUUACUUCGGUUUGAAGUCUUUUAUGACUGAGUGGCGGACGGGUGAGUAACGCGUGGGUAACCUGCCUCAUACAGGGGGAUAGCAGCUGGAAACGGCUGGUAAUACCGCAUAAGCGCACGGUAUCGCAUGAUACAGUGUGAAAAACUCCGGUGGUAUGAGAUGGACCCGCGUCUGAUUAGCUGGUUGGUGAGGUAACGGCCCACCAAGGCGACGAUCAGUAGCCGGCCUGAGAGGGUGAACGGCCACAUUGGGACUGAGACACGGCCCAAACUCCUACGGGAGGCAGCAGUGGGGAAUAUUGCACAAUGGGCGCAAGCCUGAUGCAGCGACGCCGCGUGAAGGAUGAAGUAUUCGGUAUGUAAACUUCUAUCAGCAGGAGAAAAUGACGGUACCUGACUAAGAAGCCCCGGCUAACUACGUGCCAGCAG